This 366-nucleotide ribosomal RNA is filed under the name uncultured eukaryote. RNAcentral's name for it is "partial 18S ribosomal RNA". It matches the Rfam family "Eukaryotic small subunit ribosomal RNA", at positions 592 to 976 of the family's 1831-position model. The record is from RNAcentral.
CAAUAGCGUAUAUUAACGUUGUUGCAGUUAAAAAGCUCGUAGUUGGAUUUCUGGAGGGAGCGUCGGCCCGUAUUUACGAGUGCGUGACGUCUCUGUCCAUUUUUGCGGGAAGGCACGGCAUUGAUUUGUUGUGUCGGAUCGCAUCAUUUACUGUGAAAAAAUUAGAGUGUUCAAAGCAGGCUUUCGCUUGAAUACAUUAGCAUGGAAUAAUAAGAUAGGACUUUGGUGCUAUUUUGUUGGUUGAGCCUAAAGUAAUGAUUAAUAGGGAUAGUUGGGGGCACCUGUAUUGCGUUGUCAGAGGUGAAAUUCUUGGAUUUACGCAAGACAAACAGCUGCGAAAGCGUCUGCCAAGGAUGUUUUCAUUAA